RNAcentral lists this long non-coding RNA (773 nucleotides) under Papio anubis (olive baboon). Its description in RNAcentral is "lncRNA (ENSPANG00000049142.1)". The record is from RNAcentral. Lineage: Eukaryota; Metazoa; Chordata; Mammalia; Primates; Cercopithecidae.
AUUUAACCUAUAAUUUGUAUACUCUUUACUGUUUUUUAAUAAUGGACAUGGGAAAGACACUAACGUUACUUUAUAUGGAGCCUUCAUAGCUGUGAUGAUUAAUUUUAUGUGUCAAUAUGACUAGAUCAUGGACUGCCCAGAGACUUGACUAAAUAUGAUUUCAGGAUAUGCCUGUGAGGGUGUUUCUGGAUGACAUUGGCAUUUGAAUUGGUGCACUCAGUAACACCGAUGGCAUUAUCCAUCAGUUGAGGGCCUGAAUAAAACAAGACGUGGAAGAAGGAGGAAUUCACCCUUUUUGCUUCCUGUCUGACUACUUGAGCUGGGCGUUAGCCUUUUCUUAUCUUUGGACUGAGACUCACACCAUUGGCUUCUCUGCUUUUCAGGCCCUUGGAUUCAGACUGAAUUGACAUCGCCAGGUUUCCUGUAUUUUCAGCUUGCAGGCAGCUGACUGUGGGACUUCUCAGCCUCCUUAAUCAUGUUUAUUCUAUACUGAGGAGGACGAAACUCCAAAAGUUCAGGAUCACAAGCUCUUCAGCAGGAACUCACCCCUGUUUUCUUCAACAGCCUUCCGUACUGAUCUUUGGUCCUCCUUAAAACUGAUUUUAUCGGAGAUGCAUAGAAUGGUGGAUCUAUGAGGUUAGUUCAAUUCUUUCACUUACUCGUGAAGAAUUAAGUCAAGAGAAAUCACAUGCAAAAGAUCAUGCCUUAAGUGAAUAAUUGAAUUAAGAAUGAAAUGUGAAGUAUUUGGUUCCUGAAACUCUAGUUUGGUCAAU